This 67-nucleotide transfer RNA is filed under the name Marmota monax (woodchuck). Its description in RNAcentral is "tRNA.Ala". Lineage: Eukaryota; Metazoa; Chordata; Mammalia; Rodentia; Sciuridae. The record is from RNAcentral.
GGUUGUGGCUCAGUGGUAAAGCACUUGCCUAGCAUGUGUGAGGCCCUGGGUUUGAUCCUCAGCACCA